This 231-nucleotide long non-coding RNA is filed under the name Lathyrus oleraceus (garden pea). RNAcentral describes it as "Pisum sativum (pea) long non-coding RNA (PSAT_LNC027816)". Lineage: Eukaryota; Viridiplantae; Streptophyta; Magnoliopsida; Fabales; Fabaceae. The record is from RNAcentral.
UCAUAUUUGGGUGAUUAGUCAACACAAGGGAAUGGCUUGAGGUACUUCUAACAUGUUCAAAUGGGGUCUAUUCAUCAGUCAAAACGUUAAUCUUGAAGGAGCAAAAGUUUGUUCAUGAGCUGUCAUGCUCGCUAGGCGAGCAGAAUGGGUCGCCUAGCGAGUCCUAAAAAAGCCACCAGAAUCACCUACGCUCAGAGGAAUUUCUUGAACUGUCAUGCUCGCUAGGCGAAG